ACUGGUAUGAAUGGCAAGACGGAACUUAACUGUCUCCUUUUCUCAUAUCCUAAUUUCACUUUCCCGUGAAGAGGCGGGAAAACAUUCGCUAGACGAGAAGACCCUGUCGAGCUUAAGCAGAACGCUAAUUUCUACUUCCUCUUAAUUACAUUCUAAUUUUUUUUCUGUUAAAUUUAACUAAGAGAAAAUUAUUAGUACAAGCUUUGGUUGGGGCAACCACGGAGAAGAAAAAUCCUCCGCUUACAACAGAUAAAAACAAGACCCUACAAGUCUAAUAUUGUAUAAACAAGUCAACUGAUCCACCACGGUGAUCAAAGGAAAAAGUUACCGCAGGGAUAACAGCGUUAUCUUUUCUGAGAGUUCACAUUGACGAAAAGGUUUGCGACCUCGAUGUUGGAUCGGGACAUCCUAAGGGUGCAGAAGCUUUUAAAGGGUUGGUCUGUUCGACCAUUAAAGUCCU
Molecule: ribosomal RNA, 460 nt
Filed under: Mellita sp. RCMBAR1080
Lineage: Eukaryota; Metazoa; Echinodermata; Echinoidea; Clypeasteroida; Mellitidae
Description: partial 16S ribosomal RNA
Rfam family: Bacterial large subunit ribosomal RNA
Source: RNAcentral